AGUGAACGCUGGCGGUAGGCCUAACACAUGCAAGUCGAACGGCAGCACAGUAAGAGCUUGCUCUUACGGGUGGCGAGUGGCGGACGGGUGAGGAAUACAUCGGAAUCUACUUUUUCGUGGGGGAUAACGUAGGGAAACUUACGCUAAUACCGCAUACGACCUACGGGUGAAAGCAGGGGAUCUUCGGACCUUGCGCGAUUGAAUGAGCCGAUGUCGGGUUGGCUAGUUGGGGGGGUAAAGGCCAAGCAAGGCGAGGAUCCGUAGCCGGUGGGAGAGGAGGGUAGGCCACCUUGGAACGGGAACAGGGUCCAGACUCCUACGGGAGGCACCAGUGGGGAAUAGUGGACAAUGGGGGCAAGCCUUAUCCAGCCAGCCCGCGUGGGUGAAGGAGGCCUUCGGGUUGUGAAGCCGUUUUGUUGGGAAAGAACAGCAGCAGGUUGAGACGACGCGGUUCUGACGGUACCCAAAGAAUAAGCAUCGGCUAACUUCGUG
This 492-nucleotide ribosomal RNA is filed under the name uncultured bacterium. Its description in RNAcentral is "partial 16S ribosomal RNA". It matches the Rfam family "Bacterial small subunit ribosomal RNA", at positions 30 to 507 of the family's 1533-position model. The record is from RNAcentral.